This 708-nucleotide long non-coding RNA is filed under the name Oryzias sinensis (Chinese medaka). RNAcentral describes it as "lncRNA (ENSOSIG00000018949.1)". The record is from RNAcentral. Lineage: Eukaryota; Metazoa; Chordata; Actinopteri; Beloniformes; Adrianichthyidae.
AUGAGGGCCGAGGUGCUGCUCGUCUUUGUCGGGGCGACCCUCUGCUGCACCCCGGUCUGCACUCAGCAAGCAGACCCGGAGGAGAAGGGGCUCUCCAGGGACCUGGCUUGGGUCAGCAAGGCCGGGGGGCCGCUUGAAGAGGGCCAAGGAAGGGGCAAGGAGGACGCUGAGCUGUCAGACGAGCCGGCUGGAGCGGUGGAGGACGGGAAGACAAAACCAAAGAAGAAAAAAACUCCAGAGGAAAUCGAGGCAGCCAGAGCGAUGAAGGCUGCAGAGAAAGAGGCCAAAGCCAAAAAGCAGAAAGGUCCUAAGCCCACCAAAAAACCCAAAUUGCCAAAACCAACUAAGAAACCAAAACCAACCAAGAAACCAAAACCAACCAAGAAACCAAAACCCACCAGGAGGCCAAAAACGACGACCACAGCACCGCUGGACGAGGAGGAGAGACUGCUGAUCGAGCUGGGCCUGAAAACACCGAUUGAACCUUCAACUCCUGUGGAGCCUACUGAGCCUGGUCAAGGUGAGCCAACAGUUCGACAGACAGACCAGAAAGAAAUCGCAACCACGGAGGUCAUCAUGUACAUACCAGGUAACCUAAGUGAACAGAGUUCUUAUGACCAUCAAGCCUCUUCAUUUGGUACAAAAACGAAGGAAAAUAUAGGCGAUCGGUUUGAAGCAGAAGAUGAAAUUACCAGGAGAGUUUCUUGA